AAGACCUCACUGAAAGAAAAUAGAAAACACAUUUCCUUGCGAAAUUUAAUUAAUAUUCCCUAAAAAGCAAGAUCUAAACGAAAACUUUUUUUUUUGAUAAGUAUCUAAACGAAAACUGUAACCAACCAAAUCAUAUUAUUAAUUUGUUUUAGCCGAAACCAUUUAAUACUUUUAGAACCUCGUUGAUUCUUCUAUUUUUAACAGAAUUAGAAUAAAUAAAUUAGGACUGAAUUAUGAUGUCAAAGGCACGCUGCACAACCAAAAAUCUCCUAUAAAUAC
This 279-nucleotide long non-coding RNA is filed under the name Brassica rapa (field mustard). Its description in RNAcentral is "long non-coding RNA (BRAP_LNC007502)". The record is from RNAcentral. Lineage: Eukaryota; Viridiplantae; Streptophyta; Magnoliopsida; Brassicales; Brassicaceae.